UGAACCUGUGGAGGGAUCAUUA
RNAcentral lists this ribosomal RNA (22 nucleotides) under uncultured fungus. RNAcentral describes it as "partial 18S ribosomal RNA". Lineage: Eukaryota; Fungi. The record is from RNAcentral.